UACUACCGCUAGGGGAGCUUUGCUGAGAUUGAACGGAGAUUCCGUCGGACCCUUAUUACCUGAACCGGAUAAUACCGGCGUAGGAAAGCAUUAGAUAUUUAUU
RNAcentral lists this non-coding RNA (103 nucleotides) under Butyrivibrio proteoclasticus. RNAcentral describes it as "TPP sequence". It matches the Rfam family "TPP riboswitch aptamer (THI element)". From Rfam's summary of the family: Vitamin B(1) in its active form thiamin pyrophosphate (TPP) is an essential coenzyme that is synthesised by coupling of pyrimidine and thiazole moieties in bacteria. The previously detected thiamin-regulatory element, thi box was extended, resulting in a new, highly conserved RNA secondary structure, the THI element, which is widely distributed in eubacteria and also occurs in some archaea. The record is from RNAcentral. Lineage: Bacteria; Bacillati; Bacillota; Clostridia; Lachnospirales; Lachnospiraceae.